UGAACACGGAUAACGUGAUGUCUGCAGACAGAGAAGCGGUUAGGAUAGCAUAAUAAUCAUAAUACCGUUAUAAUACUACAAUAUGAAAACACAACCGGGUCAUUCCUCAAAAUGGUCGCCUUGUAAAUUUUGAAAAGGUAUUUUAUUGUUCUGGGAGUACUGAGUGUUCACGUGUACCCCCUCCCUCUGUCAGAGAGGAAGACUGGACCUAUCAGCGCUGAAGGACGGCACAGCAGGUAGACUGCAGGAGGAGCCAUAGUUGACCUGCAGCAGAGGCUUAUGGGAAGGAUGAGCAGGAAAAGGAGGGGCAAGUUUUGUGCUGUUUAAGAAGAUAUUCCCCAAGCUUCCCACUGAAACAACAAAGAACACCAU
Long non-coding RNA from Onychostoma macrolepis, 372 nucleotides. RefSeq lists it as uncharacterized. The record is from RefSeq and is a predicted model, not a curated record. The transcript has 3 exons. NCBI's taxonomy places the organism in Eukaryota, Metazoa, Chordata, Actinopteri, Cypriniformes, Cyprinidae.